CCUAUGGGCGGCAGCAGUGAGGAAUAUUGGUCAAUGGGCGCGAGCCUGAACCAGCCAAGUAGCGUGAAGGAUGACUGCCCUACGGGUUGUAAACUUCUUUUAUAAAGGAAUAAAGUGAGGCACGUGUGCCUUUUUGUAUGUACUUUAUGAAUAAGGAUCGGCUAACUCCGUGCCAGCAGCCGCGGUAAUACGGAGGAUCCGAGCGUUAUCCGGAUUUAUUGGGUUGAAAGGGAGCGUAGAUGGGUUGUUAAGUCAGUUGUGAAGGUUUGCGGCUCAACCGUAAAAUUGCAAUUGAUACUGGCAGUCUUGAGUACAGUUGAGGUAGGCGGAAUUCGUGGUGUAGCGGUGAAAUGCUUAGAUAUCACGAAGAACUCCGAUUGCGAAGGCAGCUUACUAAACUGCCACUGACAUUGAUGCUCGAAAGUGGGGGUAUCAAACAGGAUUAGAUACCCCAGUAGUC
Molecule: ribosomal RNA, 460 nt
Filed under: uncultured bacterium
Lineage: Bacteria
Description: partial 16S ribosomal RNA
Rfam family: Bacterial small subunit ribosomal RNA
Source: RNAcentral